CUUCUCACUUCUCUCACAAUUUCAUCAUGCUUCAGAAGCAUAAUGAAAUCAAAAUGAGUCAUUGUUUGACUGUUCUUGAUUUCAUAAUGCUUGGAUGUGGAACUUUAUCUGGGAUCCAUUACUUGAACUACUGCUGUUGUCUACAGUGAAUCAUGAAAAACUCUUCAGGUAAAAAAGAUUAAAGUUUAUGUGCGUAUAUAUUGUAGAAACCCAGGCACAAGACGGUGGAUGGAGACGUUAGUAGGAGACUUAGAACAUUAGCAAUAACAUAAGAUAAUUGAAGUCACCAGCUUGGCCAAGUGGUUAGGUCGCGAGACUUAAGUUUUCGUCUCUCUAUAGAGACGUGAGUGCGAUUCUCACACCUGGUAGCUUUCUUGUCCUUAUUCAUACGUGGUAUUCAUUUAAUAGAGUUGCCUUAAAUCAUAAGAUAAAUAGAAGUUUAUGAUUGAAAUAUGGAACGAGAAAGGUGAGGUUGUAAUCUCCGUAUUCCAUUUGUACACACUGAGCAAGAGAUGACAUGGUCAUGAGCGAGAUGUUAUCUUUUUUCAAGCGCAUCUGUGUUUAACAUCUGCAGGAAUAAAAAGCCGGUAAUCACGACAAUAUUGCCGUUGUUACACUGGACUUAGAAGUGCUCGCCAGCUCUGUCACUCCCGUCCAGUUGGGGUACACAUUAUUCCCGAGAAUCAGAAUUGAUCAGUUGGUCACCGUCGGCUGGGGCAACUCAGCAACUACGGUAUCGACCCCGGAUUCUUAUGACGCGAAAGUCUUAUUCACACCUAACGUAUCAACUGUAACUUAACUCAUGAAGGGGUUAAUCGAAAUGUCUCCUCAUAAUUUGGCUCAAGCGGAUAAACAACGCAUUGAGUUUGAGAAAACAGUUUGCCAUCUUCGAAGACAAGCACCUUUGAUUUGUCAGUUAGGGUGCAUUUUAUCGUCAACUUUAUGGCAACAGGUUACGCCACGAUAAAAAAAAAAUAAUUUUUUUUCACCCAAUCUUUUUUUUUUUUUUUGUAAUCGCGUCCACCUAGCGCUCGAUUUUUAACUCGGUUUCCUAAGUCAGAGAAAAUAUUUUAACGGAGUGUCCACGUUGCUCAGUCUCUCCAACUGCAUUCAACUGUUCAUAUUGCUUAGUCUAUCAUAUUGCAAGCCUAUUAAUUGCCUUUAGUUCAGGUAAUUCAUCCACAUUGUCUGGGAAGGCAAUAGUUGUCCAAGUGUCCAGAUUUGGUGAUUCUAUCCAACAGCAUUCCAUUGUCCACCUUGCUGAGCUUAUCAAGUACAAUCCUGCUUAUUGCCUUGGCAUCAGUUAUUUCAUACACAUUGUCUGAAGGCAGUAGUUGUGUGGCAUUGCAGUCCAAGUGUCCAUAUUUGCUGAGCCUAUCCGACAGCAUUCCGGUGUCCACCUUGCUGAACCUAUUCAACAGCAUUCAAGUGUUCACCAAAGCACUCGAUCGACGUCAACAAGAUCUCAUAAACAAUAUUUAACGAGAAAAUGUAAUUCCAGAACAAGCACACGAAAUAGAUCGACGUCAAGGACAA
This is a long non-coding RNA of Daphnia magna, 1536 nucleotides long. RefSeq lists it as uncharacterized. Lineage: Eukaryota; Metazoa; Arthropoda; Branchiopoda; Diplostraca; Daphniidae. The transcript is spliced from 6 exons. The record is from RefSeq and is a predicted model, not a curated record.